UACGUAGGUGGCAAGCGUUAUCCGGAAUUAUUGGGCGUAAAGAGCGCGCAGGUGGUUGAUUAAGUCUGAUGUGAAAGCCCACGGCUUAACCGUGGAGGGUCAUUGGAAACUGGUCGACUUGAGUGCAGAAGAGGGAAGUGGAAUUCCAUGUGUAGCGGUGAAAUGCGUAGAGAUAUGGAGGAACACCAGUGGCGAAGGCGGCUUCCUGGUCUGUAACUGACACUGAGGCGCGAAAGCGUAGGAGCAAACAGGAUUAGAUACCCCCCGUA
Molecule: ribosomal RNA, 269 nt
Filed under: uncultured prokaryote
Description: partial 16S ribosomal RNA
Rfam family: Bacterial small subunit ribosomal RNA
Source: RNAcentral